GGGGAUGUAGCUCAGUGGUAGAGCACUUGCCUAGCAUGCAACAAGCCAUGGGUUCAAUCCCCAGCACCCCCG
This 72-nucleotide transfer RNA is filed under the name Marmota marmota marmota (Alpine marmot). It matches the Rfam family "tRNA". Rfam says of the family: Transfer RNA (tRNA) molecules are approximately 80 nucleotides in length. Their secondary structure includes four short double-helical elements and three loops (D, anti-codon, and T loops). Further hydrogen bonds mediate the characteristic L-shaped molecular structure. tRNAs have two regions of fundamental functional importance: the anti-codon, which is responsible for specific mRNA codon recognition, and the 3' end, to which the tRNAs corresponding amino acid is attached (by aminoacyl-tRNA synthetases). tRNAs cope with the degeneracy of the genetic code in two manners: having more than one tRNA (with a specific anti-codon) for a particular amino acid; and 'wobble' base-pairing, i.e. permitting non-standard base-pairing at the 3rd anti-codon position. RNAcentral also lists the same sequence under 1 other name. Lineage: Eukaryota; Metazoa; Chordata; Mammalia; Rodentia; Sciuridae. The record is from Rfam by way of RNAcentral.